This 1459-nucleotide ribosomal RNA is filed under the name uncultured organism. RNAcentral describes it as "SSU rRNA". It matches the Rfam family "Bacterial small subunit ribosomal RNA". The record is from RNAcentral.
CCUAAUACAUGCAAGUAGAACGCUGAAGAGAGGAGCUUGCUCUUCUUGGAUGAGUUGCGAACGGGUGAGUAACGCGUAGGUAACCUGCCUUGUAGCGGGGGAUAACUAUUGGAAACGAUAGCUAAUACCGCAUAACAAUGGAUGACCCAUGUCAUUUAUUUGAAAGGGGCAAAUGCUCCACUACAAGAUGGACCUGCGUUGUAUUAGCUAGUAGGUGAGGUAACGGCUCACCUAGGCGACGAUACAUAGCCGACCUGAGAGGGUGAUCGGCCACACUGGGACUGAGACACGGCCCAGACUCCUACGGGAGGCAGCAGUAGGGAAUCUUCGGCAAUGGGGGCAACCCUGACCGAGCAACGCCGCGUGAGUGAAGAAGGUUUUCGGAUCGUAAAGCUCUGUUGUAAGUCAAGAACGAGUGUGAGAGUGGAAAGUUCACACUGUGACGGUAGCUUACCAGAAAGGGACGGCUAACUACGUGCCAGCAGCCGCGGUAAUACGUAGGUCCCGAGCGUUGUCCGGAUUUAUUGGGCGUAAAGCGAGCGCAGGCGGUUUGAUAAGUCUGAAGUUAAAGGCUGUGGCUCAACCAUAGUUCGCUUUGGAAACUGUCAAACUUGAGUGCAGAAGGGGAGAGUGGAAUUCCAUGUGUAGCGGUGAAAUGCGUAGAUAUAUGGAGGAACACCGGUGGCGAAAGCGGCUCUCUGGUCUGUAACUGACGCUGAGGCUCGAAAGCGUGGGGAGCGAACAGGAUUAGAUACCCUGGUAGUCCACGCCGUAAACGAUGAGUGCUAGGUGUUGGAUCCUUUCCGGGAUUCAGUGCCGCAGCUAACGCAUUAAGCACUCCGCCUGGGGAGUACGACCGCAAGGUUGAAACUCAAAGGAAUUGACGGGGGCCCGCACAAGCGGUGGAGCAUGUGGUUUAAUUCGAAGCAACGCGAAGAACCUUACCAGGUCUUGACAUCCCGAUGCUAUUUCUAGAGAUAGAAAGUUACUUCGGUACAUCGGUGACAGGUGGUGCAUGGUUGUCGUCAGCUCGUGUCGUGAGAUGUUGGGUUAAGUCCCGCAACGAGCGCAACCCCUAUUGUUAGUUGCCAUCAUUCAGUUGGGCACUCUAGCGGGACUGCCGGUAAUAAACCGGAGGAAGGUGGGGAUGACGUCAAAUCAUCAUGCCCCUUAUGACCUGGGCUACACACGUGCUACAAUGGUUGGUACAACGAGUUGCGAGUCGGUGACGGCAAGCUAAUCUCUUAAAGCCAAUCUCAGUUCGGAUUGUAGGCUGCAACUCGCCUACAUGAAGUCGGAAUCGCUAGUAAUCGCGGAUCAGCACGCCGCGGUGAAUACGUUCCCGGGCCUUGUACACACCGCCCGUCACACCACGAGAGUUUGUAACACCCGAAGUCGGUGAGGUAACCUUUUGGAGCCAGCCGCCUAAGGUGGGAUAGAUGAUUGGGGUGAAGUCGUA